UGCCAGCCGCCGCGGUAAUACGGAAGGUGCGAGCGUUAAUCGGAAUUACUGGGCGUAAAGCGCACGUAGGUGGCUUGGUAAGUCGGAUGUGAAAGCCCUGGGCUUAACCUGGGAAUUGCAUUCGAAACUGCCUGGCUAGAGUAUGGGAGAGGGAAGUGGAAUUCCCGGUGUAGCGGUGAAAUGCGUAGAUAUCGGGAAGAACACCAGUGGCGAAGGCGGCUAACUGGCUCGGUACUGACGCUGAGAUGCGAAAGCGUGGGGAGCAAACAGGAUUAGAUA
This 279-nucleotide ribosomal RNA is filed under the name uncultured bacterium. RNAcentral's name for it is "partial 16S ribosomal RNA". It matches the Rfam family "Bacterial small subunit ribosomal RNA", at positions 506 to 784 of the family's 1533-position model. The record is from RNAcentral.